CAUGGCCUACGUGAGCGAUUGCACGCGACGAGCGGCGUACAUACGAUACAAAGCGAUGCGACAUAAUCAGUUGGGUUGAUAAUUUCGCGCGAUUCGCACGUGAUUGUCGGAACUAAAUCAAAGCAUGGAUCUAGAAAUUUUAAUCAAUUUAAUACAGGAACGUCCUGUUUUGUGGGACAAGAGAAAUAAGAGUUACCACGACAGACUAUUAACGCACAGAGAAUGGGAAAAGGUCGGUGACGUCAUGGGAACGACAUGGUGUUGUUCAAAAAAUUGUUUGAAUUUCUCUCUUACUGUAAUAGCUGCCCGGGAUGCUCAAGAUAAAAACGUGAGCCAUAAAUACGUAUUAGAAAUGAUACGAAAAUUUGAAGAGACGGUAUCGAUUUGCAAUAAGAAAAAAUAUGAAAAUAGAGUUCUCGAUGAAGCAUGCCAAGUUGAAGUACCAGGACAAUUUGCUAUGGAUCCAACUUUGUCUAUACCAAAGGCCGCAAAACUAACAAAUAUUUUCACUGGUUCCGUACAUAAAGUUAAAAAAAAAUAAGUUCUUUCCUUAUAAAAUUCAUAUUCUUCAUGAAUUCGGAGAAGAUGAUUUUGAUAGGGGAAUUCAAUUUUGUGAAGUGAUGUGCCAGCGAAUUGACGACGAUCCCCAUUUAUUGAAGAACAUUUGCUUCAGUGACGAAUCGACCUUUUUUUAAAUGGACUGGUGAACAGACAUAACUGUAGAUACUGGGAUAAUGAAAAUCCGCAUGUUUUUCGGGAAGGCCAUACCCAAUAUCCCCAAAAAAUUAAUGUUUGGGCAGAAAUUUAUGGGAAUGAAAUAAUCGGGCCAUUUUUUUUGGAAGAAAAUUUGACUGGCGAAAUUUAUUUAAACCUAUAUUUUAGAAAAUGCAAUAUACCCUUCCAUCAUCCAAUCUAUGGAAAAUCAAGUAGAUCAACAUGGUGCUAUAUUAUUGAAUGAAAAUAAUAUACAUUUUCAGCAGGAUGGAGCUCCCGCGCACUACACUUUGGUAGUUCGAGAGUGGCUUGAUGAAAAUUUUCGAGAAAAGUGGAUUGGCAGACGUGGUACAAUCGAAUGGCCUGCGGACCUAACCCCACUAGACUUUUUUCUUUGGGGCUACUUAAAAAGCUAAGUUUAUAAAACCCCACCUGAGAGCAUUGAGAAUUUAAAAAAUAGAAUAUUUCAAGAAUGCAGAGAAAUUAGCGGGCAGACCCUUGCCCUUAGAACAUUGAAAGGCUAGAAGUAGCAUGCCGUGGAACUAUGGGCAGGUUUGUUUGCUUGCAACAUCUCUGAUGCAAUGAUGCCAAAUGCUUAUAGAGAAAUGGCAAAAAUCACUUUAUAAUAGCAUAAAAAUUUUCAGUUGUUUCCGAAGGCACAAAACAAUACUACUGCUCCCCUUUAAUAAAAUAUCAAGCAUUUUUUUAAAAUAAAUUUAUUAAGAUAUCGAAUACAUUAAAGUCAAUAUACGUUAAAUAAAUGAAAAUAAAGUACGAAGAAACGAGAAAACGGUAAUGGCAUCGCAACGCCGCUCGAUCGCAUUGUUGAUGUCACCGAUACAAGCACUCUUUACCAGUGACGUCGUCAACAAAUAUUUACCUGACAAAUUUUUAUUAAUUAUUAAAGAGUUUGACUAUAAGUAAUAUUACCAUUUAUGAGCUAUUUAUGUGUUUUUUUUUAACGGACUUCAUUAGAGGAAGGUCCUAAUAAAAGGCAGCAUUUUUGUCAAAGCAUUUUUAUGGAAAUUAAAUAUUUUAUUAAUAUAAUAUUAUAGAUUUCUUAAUAAAUCAUGUUUUAAGACACACAUUUUUAACAUUUUGCAAAAUUUUAUUGUUAUAUUGGACAAAACUCAGUUUUACAUCACUUACUUAUAUCACAUAAUAUAUACUUCUAUGGUGCUGACUUUUUCAAAGGGACAGUAUUGCUUCAGCGGAAAAAGUUAAAACUACAAGGAUGUUCAAAUUGUGAAGGAGUUGCAGGUUUUUUGUAGGUUAUAAGAUUUUUAUUUAUUUAUGAGUAUUACAUUUUAUUUAUGAGUAUUUAGCCUGUAUAAUGGUUUCGAGACAUUUAAUAGUGACCUAUAUAAUACCUAAUACCAAUUAUUAUAUCAUAUUAAUUUAUACUAAAAAACAAAGCUUACCUAAGAAUAAAGACUAUGUACAAUAGAUUAGAUAGUUUAUUAGUAGUAAUAUACAAAGAAGUACUUUUACAAGUCAAAUAAAAUAUGUAGUAUGUUGGGCUUUUUCGAAAAUCAUGUUAUUAUUUCUUAAGUAUUUUAAUAAUGACUUGAGAUCUAAUUCAAUUUCUUUGGCGCAAAUUUGUUUGUUGCAAUCUUCGAAUUUUAUUUUCUUUUUUUUUCUAUAAUUUGGUGACAAGUGAUUUAGCUUUUAAAACGGUGGAAUCAUCAGUGCUUAGGUCCUCAGGAUAUCAUUUUGAUUUUACCCUAGAAUAAUAUACAUAAAAAUAUAGUAUUACCAAAAUUAAAAAAAUGUAUUAUGAUAAUCCAAUUGAUCAAUAAAAUGUAUGUUAUUAAUAAAGAAUCUUUGUAAUAUCAUACAUUUAAUUAAUAUUAAAUAUUUUAAUAUUAAACAAAUAUAACACAAUAAAAUACUAUAUCACUUUUAAAUAAGAUAUAUAGAAUAGGAUAAUACAUGGCAAAAAACUAGUAGUCUAUUUUGAGUGUAUUUUACGUUUUCCUUGGCAGAGUCAGGGAAUGUGUACCAGUUAAACAAAAACGGCUUGGAUUAGAAAUAGUAAUUGUUGACCUAGACCCCACGAUUACUGUAGAACUAUUAAUCUCAGAUGCAGUUAUUGUUGAUGAUGAAUGAUCAGAUCUGUAAUUAUACAAAAUUUGGUGUAUCAAAAA
RNAcentral lists this long non-coding RNA (2861 nucleotides) under Anthonomus grandis grandis. RNAcentral describes it as "uncharacterized LOC126734560". The record is from RNAcentral. Lineage: Eukaryota; Metazoa; Arthropoda; Insecta; Coleoptera; Curculionidae.